This 305-nucleotide ribosomal RNA is filed under the name uncultured bacterium. RNAcentral's name for it is "bacterial SSU rRNA". It matches the Rfam family "Bacterial small subunit ribosomal RNA", at positions 333 to 655 of the family's 1533-position model. The record is from RNAcentral.
CGGCCCCUACGGGAGGCAGCAGUGGGGAAUAUUGCACAAUGGGGGAAACCCUGAUGCAGCGACGCCGCGUGAGUGAAGAAGUAAUUCGUUAUGUAAAGCUCUAUCAGCAGGGAAGAAAAUGACGGUACCUGACUAAGAAGCCCCGGCUAACUACGUGCCAGCAGCCGCGGUAAUACGUAGGGGGCAAGCGUUAUCCGGAUUUACUGGGUGUAAAGGGAGCGUAGACGGAUAAGCAAGUCUGAUGUGAAAAUCCGGGGCCCAACCCCGGAAUUGCAUUGGAAACUGCAUAUCUAGAGUGUCGGAGG